Long non-coding RNA from Papaver somniferum (opium poppy), 3828 nucleotides. RefSeq lists it as uncharacterized. The record is from RefSeq and is a predicted model, not a curated record. The transcript is spliced from 9 exons. NCBI's taxonomy places the organism in Eukaryota, Viridiplantae, Streptophyta, Magnoliopsida, Ranunculales, Papaveraceae.
AUUUUAUUUCGAGGAAAUACACAAAAACUCAAUUAUCUAUCUUAUAUCUCUUCCUUACAGAAAUUUCUAUGAAGCAAUUAGUUAAGUAUGAUAAAUUUGAUGAGAUUUGAGCUAUUGUUGUCUUUCUUCCACAACUGCAGAAAUGGAUUGAUUUGUAACUGUAAUCAAGAGAAAGAGAACACCAGAAAUACAAAUUCCUUCAUCUUAAAUUUCACCCUGUCCACAACAAGUACCUUCAAUUUCUUGUACUCAAGUACCUUCAUCUUAUAAUACUAAUGGUCCAGAAGUAUCUUCAACCCAUGCUCCUAGUCCACAAGUAGAUUCUACUGCUGUACAUGAGUUUUCGACGUGGGAUCUUCAAACAGACCCUGGAAUGAGAAAGUCGAUAUCAAGUUAUCAUCCAAAUGAUCAAUAUAAAGUACGAAGAGAUUAUAUACAAAAGGGUCCUUUCCAACCUAAGAAUUUCACCUAUCCACAAAAGCCAAUGUGAUCAACGAAACCGUCGAACCAACGUUUCAAUAAAGCUUGGUUCUUAAAACAUGGAAGUUGGUUGGAGUAUAGCAUUUCUAAAGAUGCUAUAUUUUUCUUGCCUUGUUAUCUUUUUAGAAAUUAUGUUAAGGGUAAAGGUGUUUGUGAUGCUUUUGUGAGUGUAGAUUUUUCAAAUUGGGGCCAACCUUGUAAGUUAGAUAAACAUGUUGGAGGGUUGAAUAAUGUUCACAAUGAAGCUUGUAUGAAAAGUCGUGAGUUAUUUAAGGAAUCACAUCAUGUUCAGACUAUCUUUAAAUGUCAAAAAAUGCAAACCGGUUUGGGGUAUAAGAUUCGUUUGACCGCAUCUAUUGGUUGUAUUCGGUUUCUUUUAUGUCAAGGGUUAGCUUUUCGUGGACAUGAUGAAUCUGAUGCUUCACGUAAUCAAGGUAACUUUAAAGAACUUCUUAAAUACACAGCUGAACACGAUGAUAGUAUUAAGAGUGAAAUUCUAAACAAUGCUCCUGGUAACCUUAUAUUAACUUUUCCGGACAUCCAAAAACAAAUAGUGAGUGCAGCUGCAAUGGAAACUAUGGAUGCAAUUCGUGAGGAUAUUGGAGAUUCUCUUUUUGCCGUUAUGGUUGAUGAGUAUAAGGAUGUAUCGGUUAGAGAGAAAAUGGCAGUUAUUAUUCGCUAUGUUGACAAGAAAGGUUGUGUUAUUGAAAGAUUUAUUGAUAUCAUUCAUGUCCUUGAAACAACAACACUUUCUUUGAAGACUUCUCUUGACGCUUUAUUUGCCAAGUAUUAUUUGAAUAUAAUGAGAUUAAGAGGGAAGUGCUAUGAUGGAGCUAUUAAUAUGCAAGGUGUAAAUUACGGUCUUAAGGAACUUAUAUUAAAAGAAAACCCGUCAGCAUAUGUUAUUCAUUGUUUCGGGCUUAGUGAUGUUGCAUUGCUCUUUACUUUAGUCGGUAAAACUGUUACUAUUGUUUGACGCAGAGAUACUCUUCGAGAAUUUUUUUUUUCUAAAGUGGUUGAACUUGUUCAGAAAGAUGAACGUUUAAGUGGUAAGGGUUUGAAUCAAGAAACUUUCCUCAAACGAGAUGCUGACAUGCACUGGGCGCUUAAUGAGCGGUUUGAUGAAGUGAACACCGAGUUGCUUUUUUGUAUGUCGCGUUUGAAUCCAAGCGAUAGGUUUUCAGAUUUUGACAAAGGUGCGUUAAUUCGUCUUUCUAAAUUAUAUCCAACUGAUUUAUCCCAAGUGGAUAUUAUGCUUCUUGAUCAACAACUAGACACCUUUUAUGCUGACGUGGUUUCUAAUAAUAAUUUUCUUGCAUUGAAUGGGAUCAGUGGGCUUGCACAUAAAAUGGUUGACACGAAAGAGAUUUAGUGUAUCCUCAUGUGUACUUAUUGAUUACAUUGUCUUUAAUAUUGCCGGUUGCUACAACUACCAUUGAGAGAGCAUUUUCCGCUACGGAUACAGUGAAGAAUAUAUCGUUUGCAAAAUCGUAUUGGCAAUGAGUGGUUGAAUAACUGUUUACUAACAUAUAUUGAAAGAGAAUUUUUUCGCAGGAUUAGCGAUGAUAUGAUUAUUACACUAUUCCAAGGUAUGGCAACACGCCGGGGGCAUUGUUGAAUACAGCAGGAGUUGGUUUUUUUGGUAACCAUACAACGUUUUUUGGGUAAUUAUACUGCAGACAAGGUAUUUUUUGGGUAUCUUAUGGAUACUACUAUGUGUAUGUAAGGCUAGUAGGCAUUGUAAUAUACAAUCUAUUAUCUGCAAUGAAAUAUUUUUUUUGUAUUAUUCUUUUUGCUACCCUUGUGAUUGACAACACCCACUUGAUUUGUGAAGAUUGUUCCAACAGUUGGUGUUAGAUUCUAAGCAGACGACAUAGAAAAUUAUAAACCUAGAAUGUAAACUAAUGCACUCACAAAUCAGGUACAAAUAUUGCUUUCAGGUGAAAAUUCUACAUUGUCAGCUUGGAAAUGGAUAAAUGAGGAAAACUAUUAUUUAGAGGACUCUAGAAGUUAAAGUAUACUCAUUUAAUGUACACAUACAACAACUGAACUUGAUUUAACCUUUGAUGAUGGUCUAUUGUAGGAUAAAAGACAAGGGUCUUUGAUGCAAUUGAUGCUGCUCUAGAAAGGGGCAGUGAUUGCAUCGCCUGAUUAAUUUUCUGGAGACGUUCUUUCAUUUUUCCACGGGGAAACACUCCAAGAUGACAGGAUCAAGGGACGAUCAUUAACGGGUACUGGAGGUCCAAGUUCCCGUUCACGCUAAUACCUGUAAGUUUCAAGAGGGAGAAAAUGGAUAAUUACAGCCCAUCAAUAUACAAUGUCGAUGCAAGCAUAUCACUCUUUCAUCAUGAAAAAUGAAUCCGUGUUCCGCGAUGAUUGAACUGGGACUAAAAAAGUCACUCCUGAGUGAAAAACUCCAUAUUUGCAUACUCUAAGUUAGUUCGUCAAGUCACAAGUAUGCACAUCUUGGAUGAUCAUUCCUCCAUACUGAAGGAAAAACUGUCAGUGGGGAAAUUACUGGACUAAAGUUUCUGAUAACAGUGUAACAUAUCUCCAGCAUUCCCCAAAAUUAAGCAUAAGAUUUAUUCCUCAUGUAUAUACCUAAUCACAUAGUUAAGUCUCUCCUUUGAGCCCCCCUCAGACUUACACAAGAUUGUGGAUUUGGCUGAGGUGCAGAAUUUUAUAUGAUGUGAGGUGUAGACUACAUCGUCUAAUCUAAUUUGGUUGAAAGUUUCUAUCGAUUGUCAUAAUACUAAUUGAACACUCUCAUCUACCUAUAGAAAGGAAACCAUCUAUUUAUGUUUGUGUAGUUAUAUUGAAUUGGUCAAUGAGUCAAUGCUAAAUGGAUUUUCCUCUUUGGGUGAUAGAACCAUUGCGUUAAUCAAGGACCAGUGGUUAAACAAAGAUCAAAAGGGGAAUCCCUAUGCAAAGUGGAUUUUUGUUGUUUAAGUAUAAUAAUCAGCAUCAUGUUUGAGUUUUCUGAGUUUACUCCCCUCUGGAUGGUGACAGUCUGGCCUGGGGUGAUGUUAGGUUUGCCGACAGGUUAUUGUAAACAGGGAAAAUCAGUCAAGAUCCUGAGCAUUUGUUAGGGGUGAAGAGGCUAAUUUUGUAUUUGAUUGUUUUUCCCAGUCAAAAAUGGUAUGAUUCUCAAUCCCAGGCUCUGUAGUGAAGACUUAAGGUUAACAUUUGAUAGUCCCUUGAGGUGACAUUGUAUUUUGUCCCAAAAUAGAUGAGCCAUUUCACUAAUCAAGGGGGUAUUUCUAAAACUAUCCUUUUAAUUGAUUAUUAUUACUAUAAGAAAUAUGUAUAAUUUGAUAACCAUGUUUAUAUUCAUUGCAUAUGUGUUUU